This 483-nucleotide ribosomal RNA is filed under the name uncultured bacterium. RNAcentral's name for it is "partial 16S ribosomal RNA". It matches the Rfam family "Bacterial small subunit ribosomal RNA", at positions 28 to 523 of the family's 1533-position model. The record is from RNAcentral.
GAUGAACGCUGGCGGCGUGCUUAACACAUGCAAGUCGAACGGUGAAGCAGGAGCUUGCUCUUGUGGAUCAGUGGCGAACGGGUGAGUAACACGUGAGCAACCUGCCCCUGACUCUGGGAUAAGCGCUGAAACGGCGUCUAAUACUGGAUAUGUGAUGUGACCGCAUGGUCUGCAUCUGGAAAGAAUUUCGGUUGGGGAUGGGCUCGCGGCCUAUCAGCUUGUUGGUGAGGUAAUGGCUCACCAAGGCGUCGACGGGUAGCCGGCCUGAGAGGGUGACCGGCCACACUGGGACUGAGACACGGCCCAGACUCCUACGGGAGGCAGCAGUGGGGAAUAUUGCACAAUGGGCGGAAGCCUGAUGCAGCAACGCCGCGUGGGGGAUGACGGCCUUCGGGUUGUAAACCUCUUUUAGUAGGGAAGAAGCGAAAGUGACGGUACCUGCAGAAAAAGCACCGGCUAACUACGUGCCAGCAGCCGCAGUAA